AGGCCACAAGCCCAAGCUCACACCCAGAGUGAGAGUUGGAGACGGGCUUGUUCUAGAAUCACAAAACCUUGGAGGGUGGCGUGACAUUGUUACCAGUUGAUUAGAGUCAGAUGUUCAGGGUCGGAGGCCAGUGGUGCUGGAGAGAAAUGAGGUGAGGGGAGUAUGGCCCACUGACACUGUCCUUGACCCUGGCAGGAGGGGUCCUCCACGUUUGCCUCCCCGGAGAUCAGCCCCCAGAGAGUGCACGAGAAGCAGCAGCAGCAGGAGAAUAUGCCUGUGGGGGAGGGUCUCUGCUGGAGGCCUCAAAUAAACAGAGGAGGGCCCUUCCUCUUGCUGCCACAGUGCCUGAAUCCCCCAGUAGAAGUGACCAGGAGGAGGGCCUGGGAGAUCUGGUGCAGAAUGGGUUUGUUGUGGGGAGGGCCAGGGACCGCAUACCCUGUGAUUUGCCAGAAGCCGGCCCUGGGAGGUGAGGAGGAGGAGUGUGGUGUUCUUGGGGUGUGAAGGGAGGAGGAAUUGAGGGGAGGCUUCUGAGGGUCUUAGGCUGCUGCCUGUGGGAACACUGGGGUGGGCAGAGAGUAUGAGGGUGAGGACUUUUCAGGGGAGGGUCUCCAGGGGGCAGACUUGAGAGCAAGGGCUCAUCCCACACACACCCCGAUGUCACAGAGUGUCAUCGCAUAUCUUGGUACUUUCCUCGGUGACCUGCUGAUGCUGCACCUGCUGAUGGGUGAUAAUCUCGAGGUGGGUGGACAUGAGGAGCAGGUAGGGAGAACCAGGAUCCUGAGCCUUGGGAUGCAGGAGACUCCAAACUGAGCUCUGAGCUCUCAGCACUUGGCACAUCUCUCCUGAGAGCCUCGCAGCCGCCCCUGGGAGCUGGGGCAUCAGGCCAAUCUUAGGGAUAAGUGAACAGAGGCUCCACCUGAGACACCCAUUCUGGUUCCCCAGGCUAGGGAAGCUCAGAGCUGCCUGAUGGCACAGCUGCAUGAGGUUUUAUCUGAGUUGGACUCAGCCUCUCCCUCCUAUGCUGCCCAUGGAGGGAGAGAGACUUCGGGCCUCUCCAAGUCAGGCAGCACAUAUGUGGCUGAGCAGUCCCGUCUGCCUGAGACCUCACCCUCCAAGUCUGUCAUCAGAGAGGGUUGUGAUGCCACGUCCCUCAGCCUGACCCCCAUGUCCUGCUUCUCUGGAUCCCAGAGCCUGGCCUGGGUCCAAGUCCUGUUUUCUCUGCAUGCCCCAGCCCCUCUGGGGAUCUGGCUGUAGUGCAACAUGAGAAAGGGUGGGCAUAGGGGGCUAGUCAGGCUAGGGGCCUCUAUCUAAUGGACUCUGGCUCUCUGCCUUCCAGGAGAACAAGAUUAAUCUUGAGUAAAGGACUGAGGAAUACUGAGUCAUGAGGGAGAUCCUGCUGCUCCAGGUGGCUGCAAAGAAUUACAACCUGGACCCCGAGGAGCGAUUUGGGGCCUGGUUCCAGGACAUGGUGCUGCUCAACGAGAACGGUCAAAGAACAAGAGCAGAGGUCAUCAAAAGGUCAAGUCUAAUCUACCUACAGAUGUGGCAGGCUUAGCUAUGGAUGUUCAAGCCAGACAUUGCCAGGAGAACCACAUCUCUUCACCCAUAGCAUGGACUGUAGGAGAAAGCCCAGAGGAGCAAUGAAGACAAAGAAGACAUGACACCUGCAAAAAGUCAGUGGAGUAUUUCUACAUAAGAAACAUUCCAGGCUGCCAUGAUCCUCCCUCUGAACCCCAUGGUCAGUGUCGCUGCAGAGAUCCUCCCUUUGGACCCUGCCUGCCUGAAGGGCCCAUACCUUGAUCAGACGUCUUAGAACGACUGCCCUUAGCCAUGUCAUAAAAAGGAGAAAACAUCAUAUUUGACAACCCCAAUUCCUGCAUUAUACAGACAGGAAACUCAGGUGCACUUCACCACACGCUUCUCAGUUGCGUGGAUGCACAUCUCCACUUCUUUGCAGGGAGGACGCACAACAGCAGAAUACCCGUGGCCUGACUUUCUGGAGCAUCAGUAUUACUACAAGAUUUGGAAAAACCAAAGUUAGGUCAUUUCCAAGGUAAAGAAUUAAAAACUUAAAACUAAGA
Molecule: RNA transcript, 2081 nt
Organism: Diceros bicornis minor
Lineage: Eukaryota; Metazoa; Chordata; Mammalia; Perissodactyla; Rhinocerotidae
Gene name: ral guanine nucleotide dissociation stimulator-like
Exons: 6
Source: RefSeq, a predicted model, not a curated record